This 658-nucleotide ribosomal RNA is filed under the name uncultured bacterium. RNAcentral's name for it is "bacterial SSU rRNA". It matches the Rfam family "Bacterial small subunit ribosomal RNA", at positions 356 to 1021 of the family's 1533-position model. The record is from RNAcentral.
GGGGAAUAUUGCACAAUGGGCGCAAGCCUGAUGCAGCGACGCCGCGUGCGGGAUGACGGCCUUCGGGUUGUAAACCGCUUUUGUUGGGGAGCAAGCCUUCGGGUGAGUGUACCCUUCGAAUAAGCACCGGCUAACUACGUGCCAGCAGCCGCGGUAAUACGUAGGGUGCAAGCGUUAUCCGGAAUUAUUGGGCGUAAAGAGCUCGUAGGCGGUUCGUCGCGUCCGGUGUGAAAGUCCAUCGCUUAACGGUGGAUCUGCGCCGGGUACGGGCGGGCUGGAGUGCGGUAGGGGAGACUGGAAUUCCCGGUGUAACGGUGGAAUGUGUAGAUAUCGGGAAGAACACCAAUGGCGAAGGCAGGUCUCUGGGCCGUUACUGACGCUGAGGAGCGAAAGCGUGGGGAGCGAACAGGAUUAGAUACCCUGGUAGUCCACGCCGUAAACGGUGGAUGCUGGAUGUGGGGCCCAUUCCACGGGUUCCGUGUCGGAGCUAACGCGUUAAGCAUCCCGCCUGGGGAGUACGGCCGCAAGGCUAAAACUCAAAGAAAUUGACGGGGGCCCGCACAAGCGGCGGAGCAUGCGGAUUAAUUCGAUGCAACGCGAAGAACCUUACCUGGGCUUGACAUGUUCCCGACAGCCCCAGAGAUGGGGCCUCCCUUCG